UACGUAGGGACCAAGCGUUGUUCGGAUUUACUGGGCGUAAAGGGCGCGUAGGCGGCGCGGUAAGUCACUUGUGAAAUCUCUGAGCUUAACUCGGAACGGUCAAGUGAUACUGUCGUGCUAGAGUACAGAAGGGGCAACUGGAAUUCUCGGUGUAGCGGUGAAAUGCGUAGAUAUCGAGAGGAACACCUGCGGCGAAGGCGGGUUGCUGGGCUGAUACUGACGCUGAGGCGCGAAAGCUAGGGGAGCGAACGGG
RNAcentral lists this ribosomal RNA (253 nucleotides) under uncultured bacterium. RNAcentral describes it as "partial 16S ribosomal RNA". It matches the Rfam family "Bacterial small subunit ribosomal RNA", at positions 524 to 776 of the family's 1533-position model. The record is from RNAcentral.